This 468-nucleotide ribosomal RNA is filed under the name uncultured bacterium. RNAcentral describes it as "partial 16S ribosomal RNA". It matches the Rfam family "Bacterial small subunit ribosomal RNA", at positions 28 to 507 of the family's 1533-position model. The record is from RNAcentral.
GACGAACGCUGGCGGCGUGCUUAACACAUGCAAGUCGAACGGAAAGGCCCUGCUUUUGUGGGGUGCUCGAGUGGCGAACGGGUGAGUAACACGUGAGUAACCUGCCCUUGACUUUGGGAUAACUUCAGGCAACUGGGGCUAAUACCGGAUAGGAGCUCCUGCUGCAUGGUGGGGGUUGGAAAGUUUCGGCGGUUGGGGAUGGAAUCGCGGCUUAUCAGCUUGUUGGUGGGGUAGUGGCUUACCAAGGCUUUGCCGGGUAGCCGGCCUGAGCGGGUGACCGGCCACAUUGGGACUGAGAUACGGCACAGACUCCUACGGGAGGCAGCAGUGGGGAAUAUUGCACAAUGGGCGGAAGCCUGAUGCAGCAACGCCGCGUGCGGGAUGACGGCCUUCGGGUUGUAAACCGCUUUCGCCUGUGACGAAGCGUGAGUGACGGUAAUGGGUAAAGAAGCACCGGCUAACUACGUG